CCGGCAAACGGGUGCGGAACACGUACGCAACCUUCCUUUAAGUGGGGGAUAGCCCAGGGAAACUUGGAUUAAUACCCCGUAAUAUUAUGAGAUGGCAUCAUCUUGUAAUUAAAGCUCCGGCGCUUAAAGAUGGGCGUGCGCCUGAUUAGGUAGUUGGCGGGGUAACGGCCCACCAAGCCUUCGAUCAGUAACUGGUGUGAGAGCACGACCAGUCACACGGGCACUGAGACACGGGCCCG
RNAcentral lists this ribosomal RNA (239 nucleotides) under uncultured bacterium. Its description in RNAcentral is "partial 16S ribosomal RNA". It matches the Rfam family "Bacterial small subunit ribosomal RNA", at positions 95 to 334 of the family's 1533-position model. The record is from RNAcentral.